Molecule: ribosomal RNA, 460 nt
Filed under: uncultured bacterium
Lineage: Bacteria
Description: partial 16S ribosomal RNA
Rfam family: Bacterial small subunit ribosomal RNA
Source: RNAcentral
CCUACGGGAGGCAGCAGUGAGGAAUAUUGGUCAAUGGACGAGAGUCUAAACCAGCCAAGUAGCGUGAAGGAUGACUGCCCUAUGGGUUGUAAACUUCUUUUAUAUGGGAAUAAAAUGUUCCACGUGUGGGAUUUUGUAUGUAACAUAUGAAUAAGGAUCGGCUAACUCCGUGCCAGCAGCCGCGGUAAUACGGAGGAUCCGAGCGUUAUCCGGAUUUAUUGGGUUUAAAGGGAGCGUAGGUGGAUUGUUAAGUCAGUUGUGAAAGUUUGCGGCUCAACCGUAAAAUUGCAGUUGAAACUGGCAGUCUUGAGUACAGUAGAGGUGGGCGGAAUUCGUGGUGUAGCGGUGACAUGCUUAGAUAUCACGAAGAACUCCGAUUGCGAAGGCAGCUCACUGGACUGCAACUGACACUGAGGCUCGAAAGUGUGGGUAUCAAACAGGAUUAGAUACCCUUGUAGUC